This 249-nucleotide long non-coding RNA is filed under the name Mytilus galloprovincialis (Mediterranean mussel). Lineage: Eukaryota; Metazoa; Mollusca; Bivalvia; Mytilida; Mytilidae. The record is from RNAcentral.
UCCCCUAAAAACUAAAUAUUUAUAUAACAUUUUUAUAUCAAUCAAUAUAUAAAAAUACCACAUUUCCAAUACUAAAUCAACAACCCGAUGCACACAUAUUACCUUCAGUUCACAUUCAGCAUCCAAUGGAUAUUACCUUGAAAAAGAAUACAGCGAAGUAGUUCAGAGCUUUUUAGAAAGCUAAAACUUAUAAUUUUCUUAAAUUUUCAAAGUGUAUAUCACUGAUGCGUUUUGUUUUAAUCUGUGUCA